CUACGGGUCGCUCCAGUGGGGAAUAUUGGACAAUGGGGGAAACCCUGAUCCAGCAAUGCCGCGUGUGUGAAGAAGGCCUGCGGGUUGUAAAGCACUUUCGGUUGGGAGGACUGCUUCUAGCACUAAUAUUGUUGGAAGUUGACGUUACCUUCAGAAGAAGCACCGGCUAACUCCGUGCCAGCAGCCGCGGUAAUACGGAGGGUGCAAGCCUUAAUCGGAAUUACUGGGAGUAAAGCGCGCGUAGGCGGCUAGAUCAGUCGGGUGUGAAAGCCCCGGGCUUAACCUGGGAACUGCAUCCGAUACUGUCUAGCUUGAGUACAGGAGAGGAGAGUGGAAUUCCACAUGUAGCGGUGACAUGCGUAGGUAUGUGGAGGAACACCAAUGGCGGAGGCAGCUCUCUGGCCUGAUACUGACGCUGAGGUGCGAAAGCGUGGGGAGCAAACAGGAUUAGAUACCCGCGUAGUC
RNAcentral lists this ribosomal RNA (465 nucleotides) under uncultured bacterium. RNAcentral describes it as "partial 16S ribosomal RNA". It matches the Rfam family "Bacterial small subunit ribosomal RNA", at positions 339 to 795 of the family's 1533-position model. The record is from RNAcentral.